UACGUAGGGUGCGAGCGUUAAUCGGAAUUACUGGGCGUAAAGCGUGCGCAGGCGGUUUUGUAAGCCAGAUGUGAAAGCCCCGGGCUCAACCUGGGAAUGGCAUUUGGGACUGCAAGGCUGGAGUGCGGCAGAGGAGACUGGAAUUCCUGGUGUAGCAGUGAAAUGCGUAGAUAUCAGGAGAAAUACCGAUGGCGAAGGCAGGUCUCUGGGCUGACACUGACGCUCAUGCACGAAAGCGUGGGGAGCAAACAGG
RNAcentral lists this ribosomal RNA (253 nucleotides) under uncultured bacterium. Its description in RNAcentral is "partial 16S ribosomal RNA". It matches the Rfam family "Bacterial small subunit ribosomal RNA", at positions 524 to 776 of the family's 1533-position model. The record is from RNAcentral.